RNAcentral lists this ribosomal RNA (317 nucleotides) under uncultured Helicobacter sp. Its description in RNAcentral is "bacterial SSU rRNA". It matches the Rfam family "Bacterial small subunit ribosomal RNA", at positions 355 to 688 of the family's 1533-position model. Lineage: Bacteria; Pseudomonadati; Campylobacterota; Epsilonproteobacteria; Campylobacterales; Helicobacteraceae. The record is from RNAcentral.
UAGGGAAUAUUGCUCAAUGGGGGGAAACCCUGAAGCAGCAACGCCGCGUGGAGGAUGAAGGUUUUCGGAUUGUAAACUCCUUUUGUUAGAGAAGAUAAUGACGGUAUCUAACGAAUAAGCACCGGCUAACUCCGUGCCAGCAGCCGCGGUAAUACGGAGGGUGCAAGCGUUACUCGGAAUCACUGGGCGUAAAGAGCGCGUAGGCGGGGUAGCAAGUCAGAUGUGAAAUCCUAUGGCCUAACUAUAGAACUGCAUUUGAAACUGUUACUCUAGAGUAUGGGAGAGGUAGGUGGAAUUCUUGGUGUAGGGGUAAAAUC